This 874-nucleotide long non-coding RNA is filed under the name Struthio camelus australis. Its description in RNAcentral is "lncRNA (ENSSCUG00000008331.1)". The record is from RNAcentral. Lineage: Eukaryota; Metazoa; Chordata; Aves; Struthioniformes; Struthionidae.
CUGGCUUCCGUGGCCAGCGGGUCGCCAGAAGGUUUCUCCAGCCCUGCGAUGAACACGGUCGCUGCUCGGUUGCUUUUGAAUUCUGGGUUUUCUUUUCUUUUUUUCCACUCCCCGCGUCAGAUUUUUUUGCAACGUUUUUUUCUAGGUGGAAAGCAAAGGAAAGAAACCAACAAAUACUUCCUCGUAGAGAAGGAAGAAAAAGACGAUGUAGAUUAUUUUGUAUUUCUUGCAUCAUUGUAUAAAGCGCAGAGGACGGGAGUGCAAUACGGAAAGUCCCACGGCUCUGAGAGGAGGGAAGCCAGAGCGCGCCCGGCACGGCCAGGGCAGAAAUGCUCCCUCUCUUCCUGGACACUUCUGGGAUCUGGUGGCAGGACCCACCAUCCCUGGCAGCAGUGGAGGAGUCCUGGGAUGUGGCAGAGAUGGCAGCUCUGCAGAAGGCUGUAGGGGAAGACUCGGACCUGAGCCGCCUGGAGGGGGACAGUGCGGAGGAGCUGGGUGUGCAGGACCCAGAGUUGGAAGCCAUCAAAGCCAGAGUGCGGGAGAUGGAGAAAGAGGAUGAGAGGCUGAAGGAGUUGCAGCUGGAAGCUGAGAGCCGCUUCAUCAUGAGCUCGGAGGCAGGUCUGUUCCCAAAGACGACAGAGGAGAAAAUGGAGGUUGACCAGCGAUCCAUCUAUGUGGGCAAUGUAAGUGGGAAGCCACACAUGCUGGUUGGAGUCCCUGGAACAGUCCCCAGCAGCAGCUCUUUGCCGGAGUGUGUUUGCCCCAGCUGGCUGGUUCCAUCCCAAGCACUGUGCCUCUCCCCAGCCCAGAUAAGGAAUAUGGUUUGAGUCUUACAGUUCAGCUUCUGCCCUGAUCCCUAGCUGCUUGCAGUGUG